UACGGAGGAUCCGAGCGUUAUCCGGAUUUAUUGGGUUUAAAGGGUGCGUAGGCGGACUAGUAAGUCAGUGGUGAAAUCCUGCAGCUUAACUGUAGAAUUGCCGUUGAUACUGUUAGUCUUGAGUACAUUUGAGGUAGGCGGAAUGUGGUGUGUAGCGGUGAAAUGCAUAGAUAUAACACAGAACACCGAUUGCGUAGACAGCUUACUGAGCCGACACUGACGCUGAGGCACGAAAGCGUGGGGAUCGAACAGGAUUAGAUACCCUGGUAGUCCACGCCGUAAACGAUGAUUACUCGCUGUUGGCGAUACACUGUCAGCGGCUAAGCAAAAGCAAUAAGUAAUCCACCUGGGGAGUACGGCCGCAAGGUUGAA
Molecule: ribosomal RNA, 372 nt
Filed under: uncultured bacterium
Lineage: Bacteria
Description: bacterial SSU rRNA
Rfam family: Bacterial small subunit ribosomal RNA
Source: RNAcentral